GCGUGCUAGUGAUGAUUAAAGAAGUAGCAAAAAUGGUGAAUCCUGGAUGAAUGUGCUCGCGUGCCGCUGUGUGCGCGCGCGGCCGGAGAUUUUUUCUCUCUCUCUCUGUUCUUCUGUGAGUUCUUC
This is a small nucleolar RNA of Oryza sativa (Asian cultivated rice), 126 nucleotides long. It matches the Rfam family "Small nucleolar RNA Z188". Rfam says of the family: Z188 is a member of the C/D class of snoRNA which contain the C (UGAUGA) and D (CUGA) box motifs. Most of the members of the box C/D family function in directing site-specific 2'-O-methylation of substrate RNAs. NCBI's taxonomy places the organism in Eukaryota, Viridiplantae, Streptophyta, Magnoliopsida, Poales, Poaceae. The record is from Rfam.